Molecule: ribosomal RNA, 429 nt
Filed under: Rana temporaria (common frog)
Lineage: Eukaryota; Metazoa; Chordata; Amphibia; Anura; Ranidae
Description: partial 16S ribosomal RNA
Rfam family: Bacterial large subunit ribosomal RNA
Source: RNAcentral
GUGCGAAGGUAGCAUAAUCACUUGUUCUUUAAAUGAGGACUCGUAUCAACGGCACUACGAGGGCUAUACUGUCUCCUUUUUCUAAUCAGUGAAACUGAUCUCCCCGUGAAGAAGCGGGGAUCAAAAUAUAAGACGAGAAGACCCCAUGGAGCUUUAAACUCACCACGCACCUCUGUGUCCUCAUACCCUUAAACACAAGAGAUCUACGUGCUAGUUUUAGGUUGGGGGGACCACGGAGUAUAACUUAACCUCCAUAACAAAUGGGCUAACACCCUUAUCCAUGAGACACAGCUCUAAGAAUUACUAAACUAAUGCUUAUGACCCGAUAUUCGAUCAAUGAACCAAGUUACCCUGGGGAUAACAGCGCAAUCUACUUCAAGAGCCCAUAUCGACAAGUAGGUUUACGACCUCGAUGUUGGAUCAGGGUAU